UACGAAGGUGGCAAGCGUUGUUCGGAUUUACUGGGCGUACAGGGAGCGUAGGCGGUUGGAUAAGCCCUCCGUGAAAUCUCCAGGCUUAACCUGGAAAGUGCAGAGGGGACUGUUCAGCUAGAGGAUGGGAGAGGAGCGCGGAAUUCCCGGUGUAGCGGUGAAAUGCGUAGAGACCCGGAGGAACACCAGUGGCGAAGGCGGCAUCCUGGUCUGCGACUGACGCUGUGGCGCGAAAGCUAGGGGAGCGAACGGG
RNAcentral lists this ribosomal RNA (253 nucleotides) under uncultured prokaryote. Its description in RNAcentral is "partial 16S ribosomal RNA". It matches the Rfam family "Bacterial small subunit ribosomal RNA", at positions 524 to 776 of the family's 1533-position model. The record is from RNAcentral.